Molecule: non-coding RNA, 205 nt
Organism: Pantherophis guttatus
Lineage: Eukaryota; Metazoa; Chordata; Lepidosauria; Squamata; Colubridae
Source: RefSeq, a predicted model, not a curated record
UUGGCUUCGUGUUUGCUGAUGUAUAGAAUGUCAUCCACGUAAACUAGGAUGUAUUCUGAAACACCACCUGGAGCUGCUGUGACCACUCUAGGAUAUUGCCCCCAUCCAUCCUCAACUUGGGAAAGUCUACUGGCGGAAGAGCGCAUGCGCGAAGUCCAUUUCAGCUCCGCCGUCGCCGAGGAAGGACCUGUUCAUCGCGGCUCCG